Molecule: ribosomal RNA, 496 nt
Filed under: uncultured bacterium
Lineage: Bacteria
Description: partial 16S ribosomal RNA
Rfam family: Bacterial small subunit ribosomal RNA
Source: RNAcentral
GAUGAACGCUGGCGGCGUGCCUAAUACAUGCAAGUCGAGCGAACAGAUAAGGAGCUUGCUCCUUUGACGUUAGCGGCGGACGGGUGAGUAACACGUGGGUAACCUACCUAUAAGACUGGGAUAACUUCGGGAAACCGGAGCUAAUACCGGAUAACAUUUGGAACCGCAUGGUUCUAAAGUGAAAGAUGGUUUUGCUAUCACUUAUAGAUGGACCCGCGCCGUAUUAGCUAGUUGGUAAGGUAACGGCUUACCAAGGGAACGAUACGUAGCCGACCUGAGAGGGUGGUCGGCCACACUGGAACUGGGACACGGUCCAGACUCCUACGGGAGGCAGCAGUAGGGAAUCUUCCGCAGUGGGCGAAAGCCUGACGGAGCAACGCGGCGUGAGUGAUGAAGGGUUUCGGCUCGUAAAACUCUGUUAUUAGGGAAGAACAAAUGUGUAAGUAACUGUGCACGUCUGGACGGUACCUAAUCAGAAAGCCACGGCGAACUACGU